RNAcentral lists this ribosomal RNA (832 nucleotides) under uncultured archaeon. Its description in RNAcentral is "bacterial SSU rRNA". It matches the Rfam family "Archaeal small subunit ribosomal RNA", at positions 22 to 859 of the family's 1478-position model. The record is from RNAcentral.
GGCCACUGCUAUUGGGAUCCGACUAAGCCAUGCGAGUCGAGAGGGUUCGGCCCUCGGCAGACUGCUCAGUAACACGUGGAUAACCUACCCUCAGGCGGAGAAUAACCUCGGGAAACUGAGAAUAAUACUCCAUAGAUCUAGGAUGCUGGAAUGCGCCUAGAUUGAAAGCUCUGGCGCCUAAGGAUGGGUCUGCGGACUAUCAGGUUGUAGUCAGGGUAAAGACCUGACUAGCCUACGACGGAUAUGGGUUGUGAGAGCAAUAGCCCAGAGACGAUAUCUGAGACACGAUAUCGGGCCCUACGGGGCGCAGCAGGCGCGAAAUCUUCACAAUGUGCGAAAGCACGAUGAGGGGAUCCCAAGUGCUGGCACGUAAGUGUCAGCUGUUUCUUUGUCUAAAAAACAAAGAGAGUAAGAGCUGGGUAAGACGGGUGCCAGCCGUCGCGGUAAUACCUGCAGCUCAAGUGGUGGUCGCUAUUAUUGGGCCUAAAACGUCCGUAGCCGGUUUAGUAAAUGCCUGGGUAAAUCGUGUAGCUUAACUAUACGACUUCCGGGUAGACUGCUAAGCUUGAGAUCGGGAGAGGCUAGAGGUACUCCUGGGGUAGAGGUGAAAUUCUGUAAUCCUAGGGGGACCACCAGUGGCGAAGGCGUCUAGCUAGAACGGGUCUGACGGUGAGGGACGAAGCCCUGGGGCGCAAACCGGAUUAGAUACCCGGGUAGUCCAGGGUGUAAACGCUGCUUGCUUGAUGUUAGUCGGGCUCUGAGCCCGAUUAGUGUCGGAGAGAAGUUGUUAAGCAAGCUGCCUGGGAAGUACGGUCGCAAGGCUGAAACUUAA